Macadamia integrifolia is the source of this 1658-nucleotide long non-coding RNA. RefSeq lists it as uncharacterized. The transcript is spliced from 2 exons. The record is from RefSeq and is a predicted model, not a curated record. NCBI's taxonomy places the organism in Eukaryota, Viridiplantae, Streptophyta, Magnoliopsida, Proteales, Proteaceae.
UUUUCCAGAUUUCUUUUUCUCUGUUCUUGGCUGGAUUUUCUAGAUUUCUUCUCUUCUUCUCAAGGAGCCACACCUCUAUGCAACUAUCUCCCUUCCCUUCUCUUAACAUUAGUGCUUUCAUUGCUGAAUCGGAACUGCAACUCAUGGCGGAAGGAACUCGAUUGUCCAAGAUAGGUGAUGCAAUUAAAAAUUUCAAUCAUUUCAAUCUCCUAAACUCCAAGAUUCAACUGAAUUCAAGAAGAGCACUGAAGCCAACUUUGCAGAGAUCCGUAGUACCUUACAGCAAUUCAUGUCUCAUGUUGAUGCUCGAUUGGAUUCCUUACAAUCCAUAAUGGUGCUUAUAUAAAUGAAGGUGAAACAAGACAUGAGGGUUUGGUAAUUCUAGCAACUCCUAAUCGGUUUGUUAUGGGUAGAUCUAUGAGGCUUGACGUACCAAGAUUUGAUGGGACAGAUGUAAUUGGGUAAUUCCAGGAACUCCUACAUAGUUCUUUGAGUACCCAUCAGACACCACAAGACCAGAGGAUUCUCGUAUCUUCUUUUCAUAUAGAGGGACCUACACUUUCUUGGUUUCUUGGCCUCAAUUUUUGCAAGCUCUCAGAUUGAGAUUGAGUCCAUCAAUCUAUGAAGAUCCUAAAGGAAAAUUGGCAAACUUGAGGAAAUAUAAACUCAGAUUCAUGGCUUAUCAGAGGAUUUUCUCAUAAGUUUCUUCAUAUCUAGUCUGAAACCUAAGUUGAGGAAGGAAUUAUUAGUGGCUCAACCUUGUUCUUUGGUACAAGCUAUGGCCUUGGCUAAGCUGCACGAGGACAAGUAUAAAGAUUUGAAGCAGUUUUGGACGCAACCUUGGAAUAAGUACAGAAAUACAGGCUCUCACUCUGUUCCACAAGGAUAAUAUGGAUGUAGUUCCAGAGGUUAGCAUACAUGUGUUAGCUGGUCAGUUCAGUCCUAAAACUAUAAGGCUCCAAGGUUGGUAUGGAAAGAAGAGGUUACAAGUACUCAUUGAUUCAGGGAGUACUCAUAAUUUUAUCCAAGAGAAAGUGGCCACAGAUCUGCAACUACCUAUAUUUUACAAACUAAGCAAUUUAAGGUGUUUGUCGGAGAUGAGCAAUAGUUGAUGUAUGAUAAGAAGUGUGCGGUUGUGCCAUUCUCUUUGCAAGGUACAGAAUUCAUCACUGAAUUCUUUAUCUUGUCAAUUGCUGGGGCUGAUGCUGUACUUGGUAUUCAGUGGCUUGAAUUGUUGGGAUCCAUUUUGGAUGAUUAUAGAGAGUUAAUAGUGGAGUUGUCAUGGCAUGCUAAACAGGUGAAGUUAGUGGGUGAAUCAUCUCUUAAUGUAGAUUCCUUGACACCUAAGCAGCUUAGAAAGAUGGCUAUAAAUGGUAGCAUUGCUUCAUUGUAUCAUCUACAGGCCCAACUCAUUACAAAAUCAGUUAUGGACAUCAACAAACUUCCAUCAGAAUUGGCAGCAGUUCUAAUAGAGUUUGAUGAAAUGGUUCAAGAGCCUAAAACACUACCCCUUUUAAGAGAAUUUGACCACAAAUCUAGAUUACCGGAAGUGAUGGAUUUAGGUUCACAAAUGUCGUAUUCUUGUUCUAUACAGUACAAACCAAUUUGUUACUUAGAAAGGAGAAUUUUGAAGAUAGUGAGCUGCAAGCAUUGCAUAA